This 855-nucleotide small RNA is filed under the name Pongo abelii (Sumatran orangutan). RNAcentral's name for it is "retained intron". The record is from RNAcentral. Lineage: Eukaryota; Metazoa; Chordata; Mammalia; Primates; Hominidae.
AAAAUGUGAACAGUGAUUGUUAGGAUGGAUAAAUUUUGUGUGCGGGGCUAUUCAUUUUAAGUUGAAUGAGGAGCUACCCAAGUACAUGCAGUGAAUUUUCAUGUUUAAUAUUUAUCAGUGAUUUCCUAAUUAUACAAGAUGUCUAGAACAUACGAUACAUUUAAUUUUCAGCAAGAUUACUGGUUCUUGCUGAGGAAUGAAUUUGAAAAUAACUCUUUUGCAUCUUUAGUUUUUGACAGAGGAAAUUACUCUAUUGUAAGUAGGGUAGAGGUAUUCCUGCAUUUUCAAGUGCUAUUUGCUAUAGUGCUUUGAGUCUGCUUCAAGUUGUGUUCUGGUUAUUUAUUUUGAUCUUUAUUUUGCAAAGAUUGUGUGAUAUGUAACAGAAUGUGCCUAGAACCAAUGCCAUUCAAGCAUGGUAGUGACAAAAUUCUUAGUAAUUUAUUUCUCUUUCCUUGUUUGAGAUCCCAUAAAAACUGCCCAAGGAUCUCUCUCACUAAAGGCAUACAGACUGACUCCUAAACUGAUGGAAGUUUGUAAAGAAAAGGAUUUUUCCCCUGAAGCAUUGAAAAAAGCAAAUAUCACCUUUGAGUACAUGUUUGAAGAAGUGCCGAUUGUAAUUAAAAAUUCACAUCUGAUCAAUGUCCUAAUGUGGGAACUUGAAAAGAAGUCAGCUGUUGCAGAUAAACAUGAAUUGCUCAGCCUUGCCAGCAGCAAUCAUUUGGGGAAGAAUCUACAGUUGCUGAUGGACAGAGUGGAUGAAAUGAGUCAAGAUAUAGUUAAAUACAACACAUACAUGAGGAAUACUAGUAAACAACAGCAGCAGAAACAUCAGUAUCAGCAGCGUCGCCAGCAGGA